GAGAGUUUGAUCCUGGCUCAGGAUGAACGCUAGCUACAGGCUUAACACAUGCAAGUCGAGGGGCAGCAUGGUCUUAGCUUGCUAAGGCCGAUGGCGACCGGCGCACGGGUGAGUAACGCGUAUCCAACCUGCCUUACACUCUUGGACAGCCUUCUGAAAGGGAGAUUAAUACAAGAUGUUAUCAUGAGUAAGCAUUUUCACAUGAUUAAAGGUUUACCGGUGUAAGAUGGGGAUGCGUUCCAUUAGAUAGUAGGCGGGGUAACGGCCCACCUAGUCUUCGAUGGAUAGGGGUUCUGAGAGGAAGGUCCCCCACAUUGGAACUGAGACACGGUCCAAACUCCUACGGGAGGCAGCAGUGAGGAAUAUUGGUCAAUGGACGAGAGUCUGAACCAGCCAAGUAGCGUGAAGGAUGAAGGUUCUAUGGAUUGUAAACUUCUUUUAUACGGGAAUAAACGAAUCCACGUGUGGAUUUUUGCAUGUACCGUAUGAAUAAGGAUCGGCUAACUCCGUGCCAGCAGCCGCGGUAAUACGGAGGAUCCGAGCGUUAUCCGGAUUUAUUGGGUUUAAAGGGAGCGUAGAUGGGUUGUUAAGUCAGUUGUGAAAGUUUGCGGCUCAACCGUAAAAUUGCAAUUGAUACUGGCAGUCUUGAGUACAGUUGAGGUAGGCGGAAUUCGUGGUGUAGCGGUGAAAUGCUUAGAUAUCACGAAGAACUCCGAUUGCGAAGGCAGCUUACUAACCUGUAACUGACAUUGAUGCUCGAAAGUGUGGGUAUCAAACAGGAUUAGAUACCCUGGUAGUCCACACGGUAAACGAUGAAUACUCGCUGUAGGCGAUAUACAGUCUGCGGCCAAGCGAAAGCAUUAAGUAUUCCACCUGGGGAGUACGCCGGCAACGGUGAAACUCAAAGGAAUUGACGGGGGCCCGCACAAGCGGAGGAACAUGUGGUUUAAUUCGAUGAUACGCGAGGAACCUUACCUGGGCUUAAAUUGCAACCGAAUAUGGCGGAAACGCUAUAGCUAGCAAUAGCGGUUGUGAAGGUGCUGCAUGGUUGUCGUCAGCUCGUGCCGUGAGGUGUCGGCUUAAGUGCCAUAACGAGCGCAACCCUUGCCGAUAGUUACUAACAGGUUAUGCUGAGGACUCUGUCGGGACUGCCAUCGUAAGAUGUGAGGAAGGUGGGGAUGACGUCAAAUCAGCACGGCCCUUACGUCCGGGGCUACACACGUGUUACAAUGGGGGGUACAGAGGGCUGCUACCACGCAAGUGGAUGCCAAUCCCAAAAACCUCUCUCAGUUCGGAUUGAAGUCUGCAACCCGACUUCAUGAAGCUGGAUUCGCUAGUAAUCGCGCAUCAGCCACGGCGCGGUGAAUACGUUCCCGGGCCUUGUACACACCGCCCGUCAAGCCAUGGGAGCCGGGGGUACCUGAAGUGCGUAACCGCAAGGAGCGCCCUAGGGUAAAACUGGUGACUGGGGCUAAGUCGUAACAAGGUAGCCG
This 1493-nucleotide ribosomal RNA is filed under the name uncultured bacterium. Its description in RNAcentral is "bacterial SSU rRNA". It matches the Rfam family "Bacterial small subunit ribosomal RNA". The record is from RNAcentral.